This 726-nucleotide ribosomal RNA is filed under the name uncultured Bacteroidota bacterium. RNAcentral's name for it is "bacterial SSU rRNA". It matches the Rfam family "Bacterial small subunit ribosomal RNA", at positions 584 to 1316 of the family's 1533-position model. The record is from RNAcentral. Lineage: Bacteria; Pseudomonadati; Bacteroidota.
UAAGUCAGAGGUGAAAGCCCACCGGUUAACGGUGGAACUGCCCCUGAUACUGCUGGGCUUGAGUUAGGUUGAGGUUGGCGGAAUGUGACAUGUAGCGGUGAAAUGCAUAGAUAUGUCAUAGAACACCAAUUGCGAAGGCAGCUGACUGGACCUUGACUGACGCUGAGGCACGAAAGCGUGGGGAGCGAACAGGAUUAGAUACCCUGGUAGUCCACGCCCUAAACGAUGCUCACUCGAUAUGCGCGCUUGCCGUGCGUGUCCAAGCGAAAGCGAUAAGUGAGCCACCUGGGGAGUACGUCGGCGACGAUGAAACUCAAAGGAAUUGACGGGGGUCCGCACAAGCGGUGGGGCAUGUGGUUUAAUUCGAUGAUACGCGAGGAACCUUACCUGGGCUAGAAUGCGAGUGCCAGACCCUGAAAGGGGUUUUUCCUUCGGGACACAAAGCAAGGUGCUGCAUGGUUGUCGUCAGCUCGUGCCGUGAGGUGUUGGGUUAAGUCCCGCAACGAGCGCAACCCUUGUCCUUAGUUGCCAGCAUUUCGGAUGGGGACUCUAAGGAGACUGCCGGCGUAAGCCGCGAGGAAGGUGGGGAUGACGUCAAAUCAUCAUGGCCUUUAUGCCCAGGGCUACACACGUGCUACAAUGGUCGGUACAGAGGGUAGCGAAGCAGCGAUGCGGAGCCGAUCCCAGAAAACCGAUCCCAGUUCGGAUUGGAGUCUGGAACUCGAC